GGCGAGGUGGCCGAGUGGUUAUGGCGCUAGUUUCAGGUAUCCCUCCCUCAAAGAGGAUACCAGAAAAGGAUAUACUAGUGGAGCAAUCCUCGUGGGUUCGAGUCCCACCCUCGUCA
RNAcentral lists this transfer RNA (116 nucleotides) under Diplodia corticola. RNAcentral's name for it is "Botryosphaeria corticola tRNA". It matches the Rfam family "tRNA". Rfam says of the family: Transfer RNA (tRNA) molecules are approximately 80 nucleotides in length. Their secondary structure includes four short double-helical elements and three loops (D, anti-codon, and T loops). Lineage: Eukaryota; Fungi; Ascomycota; Dothideomycetes; Botryosphaeriales; Botryosphaeriaceae. The record is from Rfam by way of RNAcentral.